RNAcentral lists this long non-coding RNA (901 nucleotides) under Theobroma cacao (cacao). Its description in RNAcentral is "long non-coding RNA (TCAC_LNC002701)". The record is from RNAcentral. Lineage: Eukaryota; Viridiplantae; Streptophyta; Magnoliopsida; Malvales; Malvaceae.
UAGAUCAAUUGAGCAAGAGCUGUUUUUCCGAUUCCUCCCAUCCCAACAAUGGAGAUGGUUUGCAUGCUAUCCUCACUCAACAAUAAGGUUACUAUCUCUUUCUUAACUUCAUCUCGACCAUGUAAUUUUGACACAUCAACAAAAGACGUGCUCUCGAAUCUUCUAGGUUGCUUAACUUCCCUUCUCAUCAACUGAUACCUAUCUUUAUUUUCAGCAAUCUUAUCCAACUCUUGAUUAACUUUUUUUCUUUUGAAAGCAAUGUUAUGACGCCUACUUUACUUGAGGAAAACAACAGCAUGAGAUGAAGGAAAGUACCUUCCUCUUCAGAGUUGUUUCCCAUUUCAAGAAUGGAGUGUUCCACUCAUCCAAUAUGUCCUCCAAGUCAUAAGACUCCUCUUUGACUUUAUUGAGCCAAAGUUUGACACUUUUUUCCUUCAUUUGCUUUUCUUCAGCAUCUGAGAUUUCCGUCAAGCUUUCUGAUGUCUCAGCGACCUCAACUCUUGCUCUGCAUUUUGAACGGUACAUGUUGUCAAUUGCCGCAAAAUUGCAGAAACAAGUGCCGCCGCCAUUUCUUCACCAACUGGGAUGAUGGCUUGAAGGGAAAUUGAAGGAAGAGAUGGUAAAUUAGCGACAAUGGAUGGUAAUGGAAAGGAUUUUUUCUUUUUUGGUGGGAAGUAAUGGAUGCAAGGUUUUUCUUUUUUUUGGGAAAUCUUGCAUUUGGUAUAUGUUAUCUCCCCUAUAGGCCAUACGGUACAAAGAAAUCUUCUUUUAAUUCAUUUAAUUUUUUUUUAUUUUUAAAUUUCAAUAUAACUGAAUUGGCAUUAGUAUUAAACUUUGCUAUCAAGUAAAAAAGGCUUCGAGGCUAGGGUUUAUGACGAUGUUCUAAUUCGAGUUUCUAAAC